Long non-coding RNA from Acinonyx jubatus (cheetah), 1436 nucleotides. RefSeq lists it as uncharacterized. NCBI's taxonomy places the organism in Eukaryota, Metazoa, Chordata, Mammalia, Carnivora, Felidae. The transcript is spliced from 4 exons. The record is from RefSeq and is a predicted model, not a curated record.
UUUCCUUUUUCUUAAUGGGUGAAUAAUAUUCUCAUCUGUGUGUGUGUGUGUGUGUGUGUGUGUGUGUGUGUGUACACUGUGUAGAAACUUUUUAGUUUGAUGUAGUCCCACUUGUUUAAUUUUGCUUUUGUUGCCUGUGCUAAUCCCCUCCCCUUCGUUGUGAGCUGGAUCUAGAUACUCACUUCCAACGAGUGGAGUACAGCAAUGUGAUAAAACAUCACUUCCAAGACGAGGGCAGGAGGGGACUAAGUCUUCCUUCUUGGUCACAGCUUCCCUUUCUCUUUCUCUGAUCACUUGCCAUGGGGUAAUCCGGUUGCCGUAUCACGAGGUCACUCGGCAACUCAGGAAGAGGUCCACACGGUGACACACUGAGACCGAUAGAUGCUGGGGAACCGAGGCCGGCCAACAACCCUAGCAGUGAUCUUGGAAGUGGACUCUCCACCUGCUGAGCCUCCAGAGACCACGGGCCUGGCUCACAGCUCGACUCCCACCCAACAGGCCCUGAGCCAGAACUGACUGUCCACCUGCUCCUGGACUCCUGAACCACAGAAAACCAUAAGCUCUUUGAAGACAGUGGUGAGGUUAAGUGACUUCCCCAAGACCACACAGCAGAGACAGGGCACAAACCCAGGCCGUUCUCUCCAAAGACAGCUCUUCCUGAAUCAACUUGCUCUUUGGAGAGUUGUCCGGAUCCGCCACCUGGAGCACUGACUGCGUGAGGGGCACGGGCUGUCCACGCCAGUGGGAUGGCUAGACAGAAAGGCAGCUGACAUUAGCACGUGCGGUUAUGUAAUAAGGAGAGAGGGAGGAGCGGAAGGCAGACGGCCGUCUGUUCCGGGACGCAGAGCGCGCAGAGAGAAGCGUGGCGGCGGAAGCGGCCGGAGGCGGAAGCAGUGGCAGGUCCCGGAACCGCGGGACUCAGCCCCGGAGACUCCCGCAGGCGGAUGUCGGAAGCGUCCCUGGCACAGCGCGCACGCGCAGAAGAAAGCCUGGAAGGAAAGCCCUGGAACCUGCGACGCCAAGGACCGAGUAUCGACAGCGAUGAGGUAAGAAGUGAGUCGGAGGUAAUGAAACAGAAUUAACGCCUCGAGACACCCCAUACGAGGAGGGAGACGUUGCCCAAGGUAGGAUCUUAAGGGAAGACAGAAGAGAAAUGCUUUCUUCUCCGUGGAGGCGACCGAGGGGUCCCAGGGAGUGAGGUGGGGAUCCAGGCCGGAUGCAAAGGCCGAAUGUUUGGGGAGCCGAAGGGCUGCUCACGGACAGGAGCCCAAGGCCCCAGGUUCAUCUCCGUCUCCCUGCGAGACCCAGAGAGCAGCCAGAGGAGAAGACAGAUCGCGCCAGACAACUUCUCUUCAAACCCCUGCCACGCGGGCGGCCUCGCGCACAUGGAGGAAAACCCAAGACUUGGGGGAGGCGUGCGAGUCUCCUGCACACAC